RNAcentral lists this ribosomal RNA (1001 nucleotides) under uncultured archaeon. Its description in RNAcentral is "partial 16S ribosomal RNA". It matches the Rfam family "Archaeal small subunit ribosomal RNA", at positions 45 to 1054 of the family's 1478-position model. The record is from RNAcentral.
UAAGCCAUGCGAGUCGAGAGGUUCAAGACCUCGGCGUACUGCUCAGUAACACGUGGACAAUCUGCCCUGAAGUGGAGAAUAAUCCCGGGAAACUGGGGGUAAUACUCCAUAGUUCGUUAUUACUGGAAUGUUUUUCGAACGAAAGAUCCGUCGCUUCAGGAUGAGUCUGCGGCCGAUUAGGUAGUUGUUGGGGUAAUUGCCCAACAAGCCUGUAAUCGGUACGGGUUGUGGGAGCAAGAGCCCGGAGAUGGAUUCUGAGACACGAAUCCAGGCCCUACGGGGCGCAGCAGGCGCGAAAACUUUACCAUGCGGGCAACCGUGAUAAGGAAACCCCGAGUGCCAGCACAGGCUGGCUGUCCGCCAGUUUAAACAACUGGCGAAGAAAGGGCCGGGCAAGACCGGUGCCAGCCGCCGCGGUAACACCGGCGGCCCGAGUGGUGACCGUUAUUAUUGGGUCUAAAGGGUCCGUAGCCGGUUUGGUCAGUCCUCCGGGAAAUCUGAUAGCUUAACUGUUAGGCUUUCGGGGGAUACUGCCAGGCUUGGAACCGGGAGAGGUAAGAGGUACUACAGGGGUAGGAGUGAAAUCUUGUAAUCCCUGUGAGACCACCUGUGGCGAAGGCGUCUUACCAGAACGGGUUCGACGGUGAGGGACGAAAGCUGGGGGCACGAACCGGAUUAGAUACCCGGGUAGUCCCAGCCGUAAACUAUGCUCGCUAGGUGUCAGGCAUGGCGCGACCGUGUCUGGUGCCGCAGGGAAGCCGUGAAGCGAGCCACCUGGGAAGUACGGCCGCAAGGCUGAAACUUAAAGGAAUUGGCGGGGGAGCACAACAACGGGUGGAGCCUGCGGUUUAAUUGGACUCAACGCCGGACAACUCACCGGGGACGACAGCAAUAUGUAGGCCAGGCUGAAGACCUUGCCUGAAUCGCUGAGAGGAGGUGCAUGGCCGUCGCCAGUUCGUACUGUGAAGCAUCCUGUUAAGUCAGGCAACGAGCGAGACCCA